UACGGAGGGUGCAAGCGUUAUCCGGAAUUACUGGGUUUAAAGGGUGCGUAGGCGGUUUAGUAAGUCAGAAGUGAAAAGUCAGAGCUUAACUUUGGCCUUGCUUUUGAUACUGCUAGACUUGAAUUAGGCUGAGGUUAGCGGAAUGUGACAUGUAGCGGUGAAAUGCAUAGAUAUGUCAUAGAACACCAAUUGCGAAGGCAGCUAGCUAGACCUUAAUUGACGCUGAGGCACGAAAGCGUGGGGAGCGAACAGG
Molecule: ribosomal RNA, 253 nt
Filed under: uncultured bacterium
Lineage: Bacteria
Description: partial 16S ribosomal RNA
Rfam family: Bacterial small subunit ribosomal RNA
Source: RNAcentral